RNAcentral lists this ribosomal RNA (491 nucleotides) under uncultured bacterium. Its description in RNAcentral is "partial 16S ribosomal RNA". It matches the Rfam family "Bacterial small subunit ribosomal RNA", at positions 29 to 506 of the family's 1533-position model. The record is from RNAcentral.
AGUGAACGCUGGCGGUAGGCCUAACACAUGCAAGUCGAACGGCAGCACAGUAAGAGCUUGCUCUUACGGGUGGCGAGUGGCGGACGGGUGAGGAAUACAUCGGAAUCUACUUUUUCGUGGGGGAUAACGUAGGGAAACUUACGCUAAUACCGCAUACGACCUACGGGUGAAAGCAGUGGAUCUUCGGACCUUGCGCGAUUGAAUGAGCCGAUGUCGGAUUAGCUAGUUGGCGGGGUAAAGGCCCACCAAGGCGACGAUCCGUAGCUGGUCUGAGAGGAUGAUCAGCCACACUGGAACUGAGACACGGUCCAGACUCCUACGGGAGGCAGCAGUGGGGAAUAUUGGACAAGGGGCGCAAGCCUGAUCCAGCCAUACCGCGUGGGUGAAGAAGGCCUUCGGGUUGUAAAGCCCUUUUGUUGGGAAAGAAAAGCAGCAGGUUAAUACCCCGCUGUUCUGACGGUACCCAUAGAAUAAGCACCGGCUAACUUCGU